RNAcentral lists this microRNA precursor (250 nucleotides) under Oryza nivara. RNAcentral's name for it is "MIR812 microRNA precursor family". It matches the Rfam family "MIR812 microRNA precursor family". The record is from Rfam by way of RNAcentral. Lineage: Eukaryota; Viridiplantae; Streptophyta; Magnoliopsida; Poales; Poaceae.
GGUAAGAGUACUCCCUGUGGGUUUGGAUGUCCAACGUUUGACCGUCCGUUUUAUUUGAAAUUUUUUUAUAAUUAAUAUUUUUAUUAUUAUUAGAUAAUAAAAUAUAAAUAGUAAUUUAUGUAUGACUUAAUUUUUUAAAAAAUCAUAAAUUUUUCAAAUAUGUAUGACUUAAUUUUUAAAAAAAAUCAUAAUUUUUUCAAAUAAAAUGGACGGUUAAAUGUUGGACACAGAAACUUACGGUACACUUAAA